This 410-nucleotide ribosomal RNA is filed under the name Paraonides sp. 34 PB. Its description in RNAcentral is "partial 16S ribosomal RNA". It matches the Rfam family "Bacterial large subunit ribosomal RNA", at positions 1959 to 2592 of the family's 2925-position model. Lineage: Eukaryota; Metazoa; Annelida; Polychaeta; Paraonidae. The record is from RNAcentral.
GCAUAAUCAUUUGCCUUUUAAUUGGUGGCUAGUAUGAAUGGAUAAACGAAAAUCUAACUGUCUCCCUAAAAUAUAUAAAAAUUAGCCUUCAGAUGAAACAAUCUGAAUAAAAUUAAAGGACAAGAAGACCCUACAGAGCCUAACCUUAACGUUUAAAAAAAGAAAAAAAGAAUAACCCAUAAGGUUUAGUUGGGGCAACUAAAAACCAUCAAAAGAGAUUUUUAUUUAAUAAAGACUAACAUAUCUAUUUCCAUGACCCAAUUUUUGAUCACAGGAAAAGGCUACCUUAGGGAUAACAGACUAAUCUCCUUUAAAAGCUCAAAUUUACAAGGAGGGUUGGCACCUCGAUGUUGGCUUAGGAACUCUAGGGGUGCAGCAGCCCCUAAAGAUAGGUUUGUUCAACCUUUAAA